AACUCCUCCAUUUGGUUUCCUCCUUGAACUCGGGGCCGCCUUCGGGCGGCCUCUUUUCAUUGGUGC
This 66-nucleotide unclassified non-coding RNA is filed under the name Azospirillum oryzae. RNAcentral's name for it is "suhB". The record is from RNAcentral. Lineage: Bacteria; Pseudomonadati; Pseudomonadota; Alphaproteobacteria; Rhodospirillales; Azospirillaceae.